Molecule: non-coding RNA, 2979 nt
Organism: Camellia sinensis
Lineage: Eukaryota; Viridiplantae; Streptophyta; Magnoliopsida; Ericales; Theaceae
Source: RefSeq, a predicted model, not a curated record
UUGUUCGUAGAAGAAAAUUGAGAAGGAUAGAGAAGGGCGGAGAAAGUUUGAAAAAAUUUCAUCAACUGCAGGGGAAGAAAGCAGAGCCUCUCUCUCUAGAAUCUAGAGAGAGAAAGCUUCCCUCGUUGGUAGUUCAUUGUGGUGAUGCUCUGGUGCAGUUGAGGCCAGUUGUUUAUCUCUUCUACCCAUUAAGUUCAGUCUGAGUGAGAUUUGUUUUCUGUUAUGUAAAUUUCCGACAGUGAAGUGGAGUGGUUUGCUUUCCAUCUUUGUGUCACGUGGAUUUUUAUGGCAGAUGUGCCUGGUUCUUAUUGUUUCAGUCCGGUCAUUUUCAGCAUGGCUGGUCUUGGGUUCUCCAUUGUCUCACACCUCAGUUCCAUCUCUUGGAUUCAUAGCUCGGGUGACCAUGUACGUUGUUACUCUGGCUGCUUAUUUGAGGCUGGAACCGAGGCUGUGAGAGAAAGAUAGAGUGAUGUUGGUUGUGGUAUACUCUAGAUUCUGAAGUUUUCAGUCCAUGAGUGGUUGCUGGGUGGUGAAGAUCUCUUUGGGAGUUUUACCCCGCUGGUGAACUCCUUCGGUGCUGGGGUGUACUGGGUUGCCGUACGUGAUGUUUCCUGUCACCGAUGUUUUGUUUUAGCUUGAAGAUGGUGUUUCAAGGUGUUGUUUGCGGCUGUCGCGUGUGUGGUUUUUAUGGCAGCUUCAAGCGUGGUUCUGUGGUCAGCAUCUUUUCCGAUGCUGGUUGGUUGUCAAGGUGGUCUCUGGCUACAGAAAGUGAGGCGAGUGGGGUGCACGUCGUCGUUGGCGUGUAUGGAAAUAAAUCAUUGCGUUGUAUCCUGGUUGCCGCCAAAAAUUUGGGCUGGUUUCAAAAUCCGGGGGCUGGUUUUCCUUUUUGCUCAAAUGGCGUGCUGCAGUGUUGUAUAGCCAGCUGUAGGCUUGUUGGUUCAAACGUGGGGCGUAGUGUGAUGUAUGGAUAUGUGAUGUUUGCAGGUUCCAGCAUGGUUCUUAGCACAUGGUGGAUUUGUGUGGUUGGUUCGAUUGGUUUUGGGACUUCUGAAGUGGUCUUCAUAAAGUUGAGUUUUGUAUUUUAUAUAUAUAACUUAGCUGAUGCAUGGCUGCUUUUUGAGGUAACUUCAUGUUGGGUCAUCCACGUGAUUGCUCUAUUUAUUGGUUUUAUAAUAUAUAUAUUUAAUAUAUAUUUGGUGUGCCAAAUUGUUAUGGUCGUGGUUUUAAAUUGGAGUGGGUGGGCCCACGGUGGACAUUUUCUAUUGGCGUUGAUGGAGUGGGUGGGCCUAUGUUGGAUUUUUUGAAUAUUUGAUUGUUGCCUAUGGUUUUUUGGUGGAAGUUUAACGGCAUGGGCAGCUGGGGCCCACGGCAAAUUAGGUUAUGAAGAUAUUGGUGGGGCCCUUUGGUUUUGAAGGUUAUAUUUUUUAAUGGGUCUACUAAUCCACGGUUUAUAGGCUAAGUUUGGUGGCCAUGGGUUGUUUCUUAUGCCCAUUUUUAUUUUGGACCGAGGCUAAUUUAUGGAGAAAUCAGUGGGUCCACGGCAAACUAAGGAAUAUAGAAAUUUGUUUCGUCCUUCAAUUUUGUUGUCUACUAUAUUUGGCUUCUUUGUUAUUUGGUUGAUGAUCUGUACAUGUUCAUGUGAUUCGGCUUAGAGCAGUUCUCUGACCUCUUCUGGUGUGGAGUGAGGGGGUCACUGCCAUGAGGAAUUGAGGUGUGGAAUUUGCCAUUGUUAGAACUGGGAGAUGUGUGGUGAGUUAAUUGGAUUUUGAUUGACUCUUUUGCGUGGACAACAUUUUGCAUGGGCUAUGCUUCUUUGUUGUUGAUAAAUCCAAGUGGUUGAGUGGUUUUUGUUUGGUAAUUGGUGGGCCUUUAUGUAUUCUGCUGUCAACUAUUGGCUUUUCGUUAUUUGGUUGAUGAUCCGUACAUAUUCAUGUGAUUCGACUUAGUGCAGUUCUCUGACCUCUUCUGGUGUGGAGUGAGGGGGACACUACCAUGGGGAAACGAGGUGUGGAAUUUUCCAUUGCUGGAACUGGGAGAUGUGUGCCCUAGUGAUUAUCUCAAAUAUUGUUGGAAAGGAGAAACUAGAGAGGAAGGGGAAAUCCUCAAGAAGAGAAGAUUAGAAUCUUGUGAGGGAUUGUAAAAUCAAGAUUCAAGGACACACUCCGGGAGGAAGUAACACGUCAUCUCAACACUGCACUCAAACUGGAGGUCAACCUUAACUUGUGGCUUUUGUUACCCAAUUGUCAAUCCCUGAGUAUCUAAGCUCCUAGAUGUUGAUCGUUCAAGUUAUGGAGUUUUGCUAAGUUUUUAAUUUGUACCCUACAUGUCUGUUAAGAUCGACGUAUAUGUAUAUGUACAUAGCUGUCUUCAGAUGCACGUCUCUGUAUAUUUAUCUACAUUAUGUAAUUUGUGAUCCUGGCAUGGUAGUGGUAGCUCAAUGGGUAUUAUGUUACGCUAUUAUAUGUUAAUAUAUGCUUCCGUUCAGGCCCCAUAAGUUAUAUUCAUCAAGUUUUAUGUCCGUUUCUGAGGUGGUCAUGCCCAAACUUUUAGGGGCGAGUUCGAGGUGUGACAAGUUAAUUGGAUUUUGAUUGGUUUUUUGUGUGGACAACAUUUUUGCAUGGGCUAAUGCUUCUUUCUUGUUGAUAAAUCCAAGUGGUUGAGUGGUUUUUGUUUUGGAAAUUGGUGGGCCUUUAUGCAUUCUGCUGUCUACUGCACUUGGCUUUUUCGUUAUUUGGUUGAUGAUCCGUACAUAUUCAUGUGAUUCAACUUAGUGCAGUUCUCAGACCUCUUCUGGUGUGGAGUGAGGGGGACACUACCAUGGGGAAUUGAGGUGUGGAAUUUGCCAUUGCUGGAACUAGAAGAUGUGUGGUGAGUUAAUUGGAUUUUGAUUGGCUCUUUUGUGUGGACAACAUUUUUUCAUGGUGUAGACGUCCCCGAACGCCCCGGGAGGACGAGUCCCGUUCCGUUCGUUUUGGGUUC